Molecule: unclassified non-coding RNA, 238 nt
Filed under: Hevea brasiliensis (rubber tree)
Lineage: Eukaryota; Viridiplantae; Streptophyta; Magnoliopsida; Malpighiales; Euphorbiaceae
Source: RNAcentral
UGGCGGGAUAUCUCUCUCUCAACAUCAUCAUCAUCAUCUUCUUGAAAUCCAAGAGGAGCACGAAGGGGCGGUCUUGUAGGCUGCUUCUGCUGUGAUGGCUUAACCCUAAGCUGCAGGCCAUACUUGCUCAUUUUUACUGUCUUCUAACUAUUCCUGAAAUCGAGAGAUGAAGAAGAUCGACGGGUUGCAACACGAUGGUGGAGCUGGAGCAGCACGGUACUGCUCUGUCUGAAGCCAG